CCUGUGGCCGUAACAGUCUCAUCCUGCUGGAGCCAUUAUGAGGCUCUCCCUAUCUUCAUGAUGCCUGUAACUAGGGCACGCUGCUGCCUGGCUGCACAUCCCGAGGGAGCCUGGUGGUGUUUGUGCAAGUGUGAUUGGGCUACAAAAGGGGUGGAGAAAUGCAGUUCUCUGCGCAAGUUAUAUUUAGUGAAUGCAGCUGUGGGAGGCAACAGGAACAAGAGAGCUCUUGUACUGCCAGGGCUCAGAGCUUGCAAGCCUAAAUCUGCUAUUUGCUUUGCAAUACGUUUCUUUCCUUCUACAGUGUUUAUUUGAAUGUAGAUUUGCACUUCAGUGUAGCCGGAGCUCUUCCUGGAGCUUAGAAAUGAGAUGUCACAGUGCCAACUCUGUUAGCUCCUUUUGCAGGCUCUGUACUUUUUUUCUGGGCAAGGAGGGAGAUUUGACCUCAUUUUCUCCAUUGGAGAGGCUAGUGUUGUAGGAAUAGGUGUGUCAUGUAUGCUGUAGCUCUUUUCUGGAGUGGAAGCAGCUCUGCAGCAUGAAGAUGGCCUCUCCCAAGGAGGAGGUCAUCAGCAUCUGGUCAGUGAUGCAUGGCACAGAAAUGCUCCAGCCCACACUAUGUGGCACCCAGCCCUGCUCAGGACGGGAGGUGACGAGCUGAGAUUACUGGGGAGAGGAAAGGACCUCUACACAGCACUGGGACUUCAGAGAGCUUUGGUCAUCAAUGAAGCCAAGAGUCAGAUUCUUGUUAACUGCAAUUGAGUUUUGAAAGGUGCCUCAUUCCCUGUCCCUGCCUUUAAAGGAGUGUUUCCUUUCAAAUUUGUCUCCAACUAUGAAGUGCCUGAGGCAGUGAUUCCUUCAUCACAGGAAAAGAAUGGAAAGAAACCUUUUUUGCAACCUCAAGAUCACUGUUUUCUUGAUUGCCCUUCUGUAUUCUGCUUAGGUUACCUUAAAUCCGCAGGUCAAACAUGUGCUGAAAGCAGUGAGCAUUGAUUGCCAGCAGCACAUGCUGCAUAGAGCUCUGGUACAAAGUUGAUGUACGUCUUUGGUUUGUUUUUGUUAGACUGCAUUAUUAUGAUAAAGAAUAUAGUAAUUUUGAUUUAUAGAAAUUACUUUUCCAGCAUAUACUAAUACACUUUUCUGAACCUCUCAAUUAGGUUCUGUUUUCUCCUAAGCUUAAUUUCGUUUUAGCAUCACUUGAGUAGACUUUCUGUAUUUAAAUAAUUGAUCUUCAAAUUCAUUUUUUGUUCCAGUUCUUAUCAUUUUCGAGUGUGUAAAUGUAUAUAAAGACAAUCCUUUAUUAAUAUUUUAAACAUGUCUUUGUUCAUGCAGCAGAAGUUCUGUCUCCCAAUAUUCAUUAUCAGUACUUGAUUUGUUAGCCAGCAGCGCAAUAUUUUAAUAAUUGGAGUUGAAAAAAAAAAAAGUCAGUUAUUAAAAUCCCAGUGUUUCAAUUUUGCUUGUUAUGAUCCUGAAUUAUUCAAGCAUUUCACUUAAUUUCCUGCACAUACGCACUUGUAUUCCCCAUACGUUUCCCUCCACGAAGUGUUCUGGAAUCUUGUUUGUCUUCUGUACGUGUGCGCUCUUACUCGGAAUUCUCGCAGUUCCUUCCAGAUCCUUAGGACAACAUUCCAUUUAGACACACCAAGAAAAGCUGGAGUGAUUCCACUGACCUAAAUGUAAUCACUCAGAGCUGAAUUAAAGGCACAGAUGUGCAAGUUAAGGUCUAUACAUCUGGAGUAGCAAGAAGAGAUGAAAAUCACAGCUUGUGUUAACACAUUUAAAUGUUUCUAAACUUUAAAAUGAGACAGUUUGUAGAGCAAGUUAAUAACUUUUGGUUGCACCCAG
This is a long non-coding RNA of Gallus gallus (chicken), 1839 nucleotides long. Lineage: Eukaryota; Metazoa; Chordata; Aves; Galliformes; Phasianidae. The record is from Ensembl.